This 1529-nucleotide ribosomal RNA is filed under the name human gut metagenome. RNAcentral describes it as "bacterial LSU rRNA". It matches the Rfam family "Bacterial large subunit ribosomal RNA", at positions 829 to 2387 of the family's 2925-position model. The record is from RNAcentral.
CCAAUCGAACCCGGAGAUAGCUGGUUCUCCUCGAAAUAGCUUUAGGGCUAGCCUCAUGAGAGUCUUAUGGAGGUAGAGCACUGAAUUGCCUAGGGGGCGUCAAAGCUUACCAAAGCAUAUCAAACUCCGAAUGCCAUCAAGAUGAUUCAUGGGAGUCAGACCAUACGAGAUAAGUUGGAUGGUCAAAAGGGAAAGAGCCCAGACCUACAGCUAAGGUCCCAAAGUGCGUGUUAAGUGGAAAAGGAUGUGGGGAUUCUAAGACAACUAGGACGUUGGCUUAGAAGCAGCCAUUCAUUGAAAGAGUGCGUAAUAGCUCACUAGUCGAGAGUCCCUGCGCCGAAAAUGUCCGGGGCUGAAACACGACACCGAAGCUUAGGAAUGUGUAAACAUUGGUAGAGGAGCAUUGUUAGCGGGAUGAAGCCAUACCGUAAGGAGUGGUGGACUGCUAAGAAGAGAGAAUGCCGGAAUGAGUAGCGAGAUGAAGGUGAGAAUCCUUCAGGCCGAAUAUCUAAGGUUUCCAGAGUAAAGCUGAUCUGCUCUGGGUAAGUCGGGACCUAAGGCGAGGUCGAAAGACGUAGUCGAUGGAUAACAGGUUGAAAUUCCUGUACCGCAUAUAAACAGAACUGUGGGGACACAGACAGGGAAUGGAAUCCGGGAAUGGAUAUCCCGGUGCAAGCGAGGUAGGAGUGCUGUUGGCAAAUCCGCAGCACGAUCUGAAGACGUGACGCGUACCGAACAUAAGUAGGGAAGUCCAGGCCCCUGGCUGUCAAGAAAAGCCGCUAUUGUUUUAUAUGUGCCCGUACCGCAAACCGACACAGGUGGAUGAGGAGAGAAUCCUAAGGCCGACGGGAGAAGUAUUGUUAAGGAACUCGGCAAAAUGACUCCGUAACUUCGGGAGAAGGAGUGCCAUGAGAGUGGCCGCAGAGAAAUGGCCCAAGCAACUGUUUAGCAAAAACACAGGUCUAUGCAAAACCGCAAGGUGAAGUAUAUGGGCUGACGCCUGCCCGGUGCUGGAAGGUUAAGGGGAGAGGUUAGCGCAAGCGAAGCUUUGAACUUAAGCCCCAGUAAACGGCGGCCGUAACUAUAACGGUCCUAAGGUAGCGAAAUUCCUUGUCGGGUAAGUUCCGACCCGCACGAAAGGCGUAAUGAUUUGGGCACUGUCUCAACAAUGCACCCGGUGAAAUUGAAAUACCAGUGAAGAUGCUGGUUACCUGCGCCAGGACGGAAAGACCCCAUGGAGCUUUACUCCAGUUUGAUACUGGGAUUCGGCAUGGUAUGUACAGGAUAGGUGGGAGACUGAGAAGGUAUGACGUCAGUUGUACCGGAGUCGCUGUUGGGAUACCACCCUUACCAUGUUGGAUUUCUAACCUGUGGCCGUAAGCCGGUCAGGGGACAAUGUCAGGCGGGGAGUUUGACUGGGGCGGUCGCCUCCGAAAGGGUAUCGGAGGCGCUCAAAGGUUCCCUCAGAAUGGUUGGAAACCAUUCGAAGAGUGCAAAGGCAGAAGGGAGCUUGACUGCGACACCGACGG